This is a long non-coding RNA of Triticum urartu, 1248 nucleotides long. RefSeq lists it as uncharacterized. Lineage: Eukaryota; Viridiplantae; Streptophyta; Magnoliopsida; Poales; Poaceae. The record is from RefSeq and is a predicted model, not a curated record.
UAAAAGUUGUUGAGAGUUGACAAACAUGGUUUUGGAGCCUCACCCCACUACGCACCGAGGGAGCCCCGCCUCCCCGCGCCACUCGUCGUGCCUCACGACUGCCUCACACCUCCUCUCCGCCAUGGCCAGCACCUCUGGAUUCUGGCUAGCCAUGGCCUCCCCGAGACGCGCCACCGAUGGAUCCAGCCAUCCAUGGCCUCCCUGCGCCGCGCCGCUGGUGGAUCCAGCCAUCCACGACCUCCCUUGAUGCGCCCUGCCGGAUCUGGCCAUCCCGAGCGCCCCUGGACCUUCCCGUGCAAGAUCAGGCAACCGAUUCCGCUCACCCCUCUCCUCGCCUCACCUCCUUCCCACCGUGCCGCACCUCUCCGACUACCAACCGCCGGCCUCGAGCGUCCACUUCUGCCCCCUGGAUAUUCUGCUUGCCGGCGUUGCCCCGGCCGAUCUAGACAGUUGGGUGGGGUUGGGGUGUCCGGGCGUCCAGACGAUGAGUUCCCGCCGGUGAGCUAGACGUCCUCCUUCCUCUUCUACCUCCCAUCCUCGUGGGAGCAGCGCGGCGUGUGCCUGUGCAGUGCAGUGCCCCCCGACGGGCAGUGCAGCAUGCUUGUUGGAGAGGCUCACUUUACUGUUGUCUGUUCACUUGCGGAGACCAGAGUGCUGUUCAGAAGCUUCCGUUGAGUAUAUUUUCCAGUGUGUUGAUGCAGUUCGUUGAGGGUGAGGUCUCCGGCAUGGGUCGUGCAGUGCGGUGCACACGUUCGUGCAGUCCGGUGGCGGUGCCGAUGUAAGAAGUGCGGUGAGCUCCUUGCCGUGAUCCUUGUCGUGGGCUCCUCAAUGGCGGUGGAGUGGACGGAUUAUGGGUCCAGGUUGGCAAUGGCUCCGGUUGCCCAGGGCGAGGGUGCCCUCUUUGUAGCUCACUGAAGUUUAUUUUUCAGCUCGCUGAAAGUUUGUUUUGUAGCUCGCUUGCUGGUAUAGUGCUUGGGCAACGCCUCCGUGUAGUUCAAGCAAUCGCGUGCGUGCAAUGCGGCGAGUGCGUGCGGUUCGGCGGUGCAAAGUAUUUGCAUUCUCGCUAUGUUAAUGCGUGCGGUUUAGUGCAUUUUAUAAGGGCGACUGCUACAAAUCAUCUGGCUAGGAAAUCAAUCGGGUCAAGCGCCGUUAUAGGUGCUGCUGUUUGUGGUUUUUGUGUGCGUCUAUCGAAUGUAUCUGGUUGGGAUAAGAUGUAUUUUGUAUAAAAAAUAUUUUUUAAGAAGUUCA